This 486-nucleotide ribosomal RNA is filed under the name uncultured bacterium. RNAcentral describes it as "partial 16S ribosomal RNA". It matches the Rfam family "Bacterial small subunit ribosomal RNA", at positions 30 to 507 of the family's 1533-position model. The record is from RNAcentral.
AUUGAACGCUGGCGACAUGCCUUACACAUGCAAGUCGAACGGCAGCACGGGUGCUUGCACCUGGUGACGAGUGGCGAACGGGUGAGUAAUACAUCGGAACAUGUCCUGUAGUGGGGGAUAGCCCGGCGAAAGCCGGAUUAAUACCGCAUACGAUCUACGGAUGAAAGCGGGGGACCUUCGGGCCUCGCGCUAUAGGGUUGGCCGAUGGCUGAUUAGCUAGUUGGUGGGGUAAAGGCCUACCAAGGCGACGAUCAGUAGCUGGUCUGAGAGGACGACCAGUCACACUGGGACUGAGACACGGCCCAGACUCCUACGGGAGGAAGCAGUGGGGAAUUUUGGACAAUGGGCGAAAGCCUGAUCCAGCAAUGCCGCGUGUGUGAAGAAGGCCUUCGGGUUGUAAAGCACUUUUGUCCGGAAAGAAAUCCUUGGCCCUAAUACGGUCGGGGGAUGACGGUACCGGAAGAAUAAGCACCGGCUAACUACGUG